RNAcentral lists this ribosomal RNA (253 nucleotides) under uncultured bacterium. RNAcentral's name for it is "partial 16S ribosomal RNA". It matches the Rfam family "Bacterial small subunit ribosomal RNA", at positions 524 to 776 of the family's 1533-position model. The record is from RNAcentral.
UACAGAGGGUGCAAGCGUUAAUCGGAAUUACUGGGCGUAAAGCGUGCGUAGACGGUUGCGUAAGUCAGAUGUGAAAGCCCCGGGCUCAACCUGGGAAUUGCAUUUGAGACUGCGUAGCUAGGGUGCGGAAGAGGGAAGCGGAAUUUCCGGUGUAGCGGUGAAAUGCGUAGAUAUCGGAAGGAACACCGGUGGCGAAGGCGGUUCUCUGGGCCUUACCUGACGCUGAGGAGCGAAAGCGUGGGGAGCAAACAGG